GUAACACAGGUGCUGCAUGGCUGUCGUCAGCUCGUGUCGUGAGAUGUUGGUUAAGUCCGCAACGAGCGCAACCCUUGUCAUUAGUUGCUACGAAAGGGCACUCUAAUGAGACUGCCGGUGACAAACCGGAGGAGGGUGGGGAUGACGUCAAGUCCUCAUGGCCCUUAUAGGUGGGGCUACACACGUCAUACAAUGGCUGGUACAAAGGGUUGCCAACCCGCGAGGGGGAGCCAAUCCCAUAAAGCCAGUCGUAGUCCGGAUCGCAGUCUGCAACUCGACUGCGUGAAGUCGGAAUCGCUAGUAAUCGUGGAUCAGCAUGUCACGGUGAAUACGUUCCCGGGUCUU
This 345-nucleotide ribosomal RNA is filed under the name uncultured Hydrogenophaga sp. RNAcentral describes it as "bacterial SSU rRNA". It matches the Rfam family "Bacterial small subunit ribosomal RNA", at positions 1029 to 1382 of the family's 1533-position model. The record is from RNAcentral. Lineage: Bacteria; Pseudomonadati; Pseudomonadota; Betaproteobacteria; Burkholderiales; Comamonadaceae.